This 449-nucleotide ribosomal RNA is filed under the name uncultured bacterium. RNAcentral's name for it is "bacterial SSU rRNA". It matches the Rfam family "Bacterial small subunit ribosomal RNA", at positions 28 to 507 of the family's 1533-position model. The record is from RNAcentral.
GACAAACGCUGGCGGAAUGUAUUAGGCAUGCAAGUCGUACGAACCUUCGGGUUAGUGGCGAACGGGUGAGUAACACGUGGGUAACCUGCCUCGUAGUGGGGAAUAACUCGCCGAAAGGCGAGCUAAUACCGCAUAACACCCCCGGUGAGAAUCCGGGUGGUAAAAGCUCCGGCGCUACGAGAGGGGCCCGCGGCCGAUUAGCUAGUUGGUGGGGUAAUAGCCUACCAAGGCGACGAUCGGUAGCUGGUCUGAGAGGAUGGUCAGCCACACGGGGACUGAGAUACGGCCCCGACUCCUACGGGAGGCAGCAGCUAAGAAUCUUGCGCAAUGGGCGAAAGCCUGACGCAGCAAUUCCGCGUGGGGGACGAAGGCCCUCGGGUCGUAAACCCCUUUUGUGAGGGAAGAAGUUCUGAAACGGUCCUCACGAAUAAGACACGGCUAACUACGUG